CAAAUUUAAACUAAAAGUUAGUAAUUUAUUUACAAUAAAUAAUAAUUGUGCGAUUCAAUAUAAUUUGA
RNAcentral lists this transfer RNA (68 nucleotides) under Paduniella fasciaria. Its description in RNAcentral is "tRNA-Val". Lineage: Eukaryota; Metazoa; Arthropoda; Insecta; Trichoptera; Psychomyiidae. The record is from RNAcentral.